Molecule: long non-coding RNA, 6765 nt
Filed under: Pelobates cultripes (western spadefoot toad)
Lineage: Eukaryota; Metazoa; Chordata; Amphibia; Anura; Pelobatidae
Source: RNAcentral
GGGUGUAUACAGAGGAGGGGUAUAUAGAGGAGGGGUGUAUACAGAGGAGGGGUAUAUAGAGAGGGGGUAUAUAGAGGAGGGGUGUAUAUAGAAGAGGGGUAUAUAGAGGAGGGUGUAUACAGAGGAGGGGUAUAUAGAGGAGGGGUGUAUAUAGAAGAGGGGUGUAGAGUGAGUGGUAACAAGAUCUUUUAUUUAUUAGACGCAGAUAGAUAUACUGACAAACCACACGGCAGCUAGAAUUUCAACAUCGCUAUUGUCCAUAUUCCCAAAAAUGUCCCAAACCUGCACAGUGAUGGUUUCCUGCAGACAGUAAGACCAUAUUCCUGCCCUGUCUCUUUCCCAGGCUGCUGUACGUAUUAUUACCAAGAACAUCUCAAUGUGCAGUCAAUAUAAAUGGCUUGUUUGAAAUUAUAAAUGGUCACGUCAAACAGGCAAAACCACCCACUAAAUAAUCCUAAAAUCUCAACAAAUGAUUUAAAGUGGAACUCUUGAGUUGAGGAAUUGUCGCUUUCCUGAUUUCUCUGGAAUUUAAAUAAAUCUUUAGACCGUGGAUUUUAGAAUCUGCCAGCAGGCGGACUGUAAUAAUAGAAUUAUUUAUUCCAUGUAAUACAAAGGGUUUGCAUCUCCCGUAUCAUUAGAGAUUGCUUUCAUUUGGUCACAACUAAUUUUAUUAACUUCUGCUCUUCCCCCAUCCUGCCAAGCGAGGGCUGAGGAUAACGAGUCCUGGCUCCUUGCUGUAUUAUUACAUUGUGCCUGAUUACAGGCGUUAGUCAUUCUGUUUGGCACCUCAAGGGGUACUAAAAAAAAAAAUUUGCCUUUGGAAUGAAAGCUUUACAUGAUGUUAAUCAAUCACUUUGCAUAAAAAGGUUGAAUUAGAGAUUGUUUUUUGGGGUAGAAUUCUGCUUUUUUACUUCCAUAUGGCCACUUGGCUGUGAACUUGGAGUUUUGCGUAUAAUUCCCAAAAUAUUUUUAUUCUCACAGUUGGGACACUGGAUAGAAUUUCAGUUUGCUGCUCUGCCAACAUAGUGAGGGUCUAAUUCUGGCUAUAAUCACCUUAAAUGCAUUCCUGAAAUCACUUGGUUAUUGGCUGAUCUUGGGUGGAAUGGCCAUUUCACCUGUUUUAUAGGCUUUUAUCUGUAACUCUCCAUUGAAAUCCUUAUCUGCUAUAAUCCUGGAACAGUUACUGAGCGCAUGUUUAGACACGGUAGAGUUGUUUUGUUUGUCGUUGCCUGAAUCUCAGUCUGAUUGUGGAAAGGCUUGAAAAAAACUAAUUUUUUAAUAGUAUGGACUUUGUCAUUUGACCCCCUUACUUUCUCUGGACCUCUUGAUUUCUUGUCUUUUUUUUCAGCUGAUAUUUACUGUGUUUUGGGGGGAUUCGUCCUUUAAGUUAAAUUGUCACCCCAUGCUUUGUGACAAUUUUAUACGUUUCAUUACCUAUCUCCCCUUAUACCAUGUUAGAUUGUCUCCUGUUUGCCCAAUUUUAGAGACAAUCCCCCCAGCUAGACAGUUUCAUUGUGAGAAUAUCUCCUUAUGAUAGUAUGUGUGACGGAAUGCUGGCACUCCGACUGAGUACCUCCGCCAAUCGAUGCUCCUAGUGCUCGCUGAGGACUCCAAGCACUCCAACUGACACUAUCAGCACUGCAGACCCCACUUCCAGCGAUGCAACUGCGCCGGGGUCUCUGCUGUCUCCACCCAACCUGGACCCAAGGCCAGGAUCCAGCUUCCAGUGGGUGAACCUCUCUUUCCCCAGAAAGCAGGAACAGGAACAAGCUCUUAGCAGAACUUAGUGAUCAUACCCUGGGGAGUAUAGUGAUUAUAGCAAUCCCCGGAGUGUAUUUCUCCAAUCCCGCAAACAUGAGCCAAGGCUUAAUGCUGGAACAAAACUGAUUUACUGGCACACAGAACUCACAAUUUAUGCAACACAAAACUCCUCCUCUGGGCCAGGCUAGAUAAUUGAGUUUCUACAAUACACAAAGCUCAAUUAUCUGCUGGCCAUAAAUAAUAGUUUCAUAAAACACAUCACAGGGACCCCAAAACAUGCAAUAACCCCAUAAGUAUAUCCUUGGAACCGGGGGAUCUGGGUGAACCACAUAUCCAAAAUUCACCCAGAUCCGUUCAGUACUUUGGAAAAUACAGUUUAAUGCAGAUUCAGCAGAACAUAUACAGGCUAAAUGAAAAACAAUCACUUUAUAAUGUGUCCCCUGCUGUAUAGUCCAAAACCACUGCACGAUGUCUCUGUGCACCAAAUACUGGCAAGAUGGCACCGUGUUGAAAAGUCCAAACAGUGUCUGUGAGUUAAAAUGGCCGCCAUCCAUUGUUCUGACCAUGUGCUUCUGAUACAGGAAAUGGUGGCCACCCAGUAACUCCACAGUAUGUCCUCAGAUGGUUCUUAAAGGGCCAGCAGCAGCACAACACAAAUCCAUUAUGCCCAAAUCAUGUCUUUAAAGGGCAAUACAUCCCAGGGGCCAUAGUCACAGGGCAAGAGGCGGGCAAGCAGUCCUCUCCAGGCACAAGUGGCGAAGGGCACUUCGUCACAGUAUGUAUGGAUGGGAUACUCCCGAUAGGAAUAUCUAUGGAUAGACUGGAUGAUGGGAUACUCCUGAUUGGAAUAUCUAUGGAUGGCAGUGGAUGAUGGGAUACUCCCGAUGGGAAUAUCUAUGGAUGGCAGUGGAUGAUGGGAUACUCCUGAUAGGAAUAUCUGUGGAUGACAGGAUACUCUUGAUGGGAAUAUCUAUGAAUGGAGUGGAUGAUGGGAUACUUCCGAUGGGAAUAUCUAUGGACGGAGUGGAUGAUGGGAUACUCUCGAUAGAAAUAUCUAUGGAUGGCGGUGGAUGAUGGGAUACCCCCGAUGGGAAUAUCUAUGGAUAGCAGUGGAUGAUUGGCUACUCCCGAUGGGAAUAUCUAUGGAUGGAGUGGAUGAUGGGAUACUCCCGAUAGGAAUAUCUAUGGACGGAGUGGAUGAUUGGAUACUCCUGAUGGGAAUAUCUUUGGAUGGCAGUGGAUGAUGGGAUACUCCCGAUGGGAAUAUCUGUGGAUGGAGUGGAUGAUGUGAUACUCCCGAUGGGAAUAUCUAUGAAUGGAGUGGGUGAUGGGAUACUCCCGAUGGGAAUAUCUAUGAAUGGAGUAGAUGAUGGGAUACUUCCGAUGGUAAUAUCUAUGGACGUAGUGGAUGAUGGGAUACUCUCAAUAGAAAUAUAUAUGGAUGGCAGUGGAUGAUGGGAUACCCCCGAUGGGAAUAUCUAUGGAUGGCAGAUGAUUGGCUACUCCCGAUGGGAAUAUCUAUGGAUGGCAGUGGACGAUGGGAUACUCCCGAUGGGAAUAUCUAUGAAUGGAGUGGAUUAUGGGAUACUCCUGAUGGGAGUAUCUAUGGACGGAGUGGAUGAUGGGAUACUCCCGAUUGAAAUAUCUAUGGAUGGCAGUGGAUGAUGGGAUACCCCGAUGGGAAUAUCUAUGAAUGAAGUAGAUGAUGGGAUACUCCCGAUGGGAAUAUCUAUGAAUGGAGUGGAUGAUGGGAUACUCCCGAUGGGAAUAUCUAUGGACGAAGUGGAUGAUGGGAUACUCCUGAUAGAAAAAUCUAUGGAUGACAGUGGAUGAUGGGAUACCCCCGAUGGGAAUAGCUAUGGAUGGCAAUGGAUGAUGAGAUACCCCCGAUGGGAAUAUCUAUGGACGCAGUGGAUGAUGAGAUACUCCCGAUGAGAAUAGCUUUGAAUGGAGUAUAUGAUGGGAUGCUCCCAAUGGGAAUAUCUAUUGAUGGCAGUUGAUGAUGGGAUACUCUCAAUGGGAAUAUCUAUGGAUGGCAGUGGAUGAUGGGAUACCCCGAUGGGAAUAUCUAUGAAUGAAGUAGAUGAUGGGAUACUCCCGAUGGGGAUAUCUAUGAAUGGAGUGGAUGAUGGGAUACUCCCGAUGGGAAUAUCUAUGGACGAAGUGGAUGAUGGGAUAGUCCCGAUAGAAAUAUCUAUGGAUGGCAGUGGAUGAUGGGAUAUCCCCGAUGGGAAUAGCUAUGGAUGGCAAUGGAUGAUAAAAUACUCCCGAUGGGAAUAUCUAUGGACGCAGUGGAUGAUGAGAUACUCCCGAUGGGAGUAUCUUUGAAUAGAGUAUAUGAUGGGAUGCUUCCGAUGGGAAUAUCUUUUGAUGGCAGUUGAUGAUGGGAUACUCUCAAUGGGAAUAUCUAUGGAUGGCAGUGGAUGAUGGGAUACCCCCGAUGGGAAUAUCUAUGGACGGAGUGGAUGAUGGGAUACUCCCGAUGGGAGUAUCUUUGAAGGGAGUGGAUGAUGGGAUACUCCUGAGGGAAAUGGCGGCUAUGAAAACCUGUUAAACUAAGCAAAUUAUACCAGUUGGGUAGGAGGUUUGUGCUGAGAUGAGUCAAACAGAAAUGAGGAUGUUGAUUAAAUUCUAGAACUGUGCUUCUUACCUUUGGUUUGGGACCUAAGAGGCAUUUCAGAAUUUAUCUUGUUAUAUAACAGUCAGAUUUAUCUUGUUACAUACAGUCCGAUAUGUAAGACAGAGUGGCCGUGAUCAAGGUAUUCAUUUAGCUUGCACAUCUGGUCAAUGAUGGGUGUCUAGAUUUCGAAUGUCUGAUACAGUUAGUGAAAAUCUCAAGGACACAACAUCUCUUUUAUAAGUGACUAAUUAUCCAUAAAUCAUAUCACUAAAGGGACAGUAAUGGACCAUGGUAUAUUUAACAUUAGACACAGGUUUGGAACAGACGUGCUCUCACAAGAUGGACCAAAUGUUUGUGCAGACAGCUGAUAUUCCAGGUACAGGCAAAGAUCGAGACAUGGAAUACAUCCGGAGUCGUCAAACAAUCCAGGUCAUCGGACUAAAGAAGUACCUAGGUUAAUAGGCUAGAGGUAGGUAGCCUAACUGUAGAACACAUUGGUUGGUUGUUGAUGUGGCAAGGCAGGUCAUAAUCAGGUUUCUCUUGGUUAAGAGUAGGUACUGAGUAUAUUUACAGACAGUGUAUCGGAGUGCAGGAACAUCACAUGGAUUUCAAUUUUGAGAGUUUAAUGUCCAUUAUUAAAAAAAAAUAAAAAUUAAAUUGUGUGGUGCUUAGUGAAGUCAGGGAGACAGUGACCCCAAGCGAGGAGAUAUAGCGGAGCUUAUUUGUAGAGAUUAAGAAACACCUAACAUAUCAGGUAUUUAUAACAUCCUAGAGAACAGCCAACCUCCGAGGUAUCUCCCUGUGGACUGUUUGCAGUGGGUCCCUGGGUUCUAUCCCACACAUCCAGCAUUGGUUGAGUCUGUGAGAUUGGCUUCUGUCACUCAUACAUUGCUAUCUUGGUCUUUCUGAGAUGCCAUGACCCAGGAUCUCUGUCUCUUUUCAUGCUUUGCUUUAUACUUACUCUGGCAUGAUGGGGUGUGCCAGCCAUUACCAUUUACCCCAAUGAAUUGAUGUAAACUGAACAUAACGGCAAUAAGGUACUGUAAUUCUGGACAAAUAAUCCCCAUUUCCUGUAUAAAUAACUCUGUCUGCUUUAAUCUGUUCUAAACCAUUUAAUGAGCUGUAUUACUGACAGACUGCGGAAUAGAAUGUGCGACUGACAUAUAUCUGAUUGUAUAUAUUCUAGAUUGUAUAUCGCUGGGAACACAGGUUGAUAUGCUGUGUUUGCGCCUAUCUUCCAUGUAAAGAAUAAUAUGUUCGCUGCUAACAAUGAGAGAUCGGAGAGGGGAUUCGUGGGGUUUUACAGACCAAACACGGAAUCUCUUGUGGUCCUAAAAUGCCUUUUUUAAACCUUGUGACUGUUACUAAACAACGAGGAGGAAAGCCGGGAGUGGAGGUGGGAGUGCAGACUUCCAUAUAUUUGCAUGUAUCACAAACUAAUCAAUCGAUUCGAUUUAGACUUUCCAGAUAGACCUGUGAAAGGUUAAGAUGACCAGUUCUUGUCUUCCUGCUAUUAACAUUUAGUAAAUGGUUCAAGAUCCACCAAGUGUUUUGUAAUGACUCCAUUGAAUUAGAAUUAAUAUUUUUUACCUCAUUAAUUGUAUAAUUGUCCCUUAUUUAGAAAAGGCACCCUUUUUGCAUGAUGAAAACAAGAUUGAAUAUCUGGAGAUAAGCAAUGAAACUCCAUCGAUACCCUUCCCCCAUCUUUAGCGUAAUUAUCUCGCUAGCAUAGAGGUUGUUAGGCUUAGCGUGGCGCUAAAUGCUGCUCACCCAUUCACCAUCAACGGACAGACUAUCCAUCAACAAAGUGGAGAUCUCUCUUAUUAAGCCAUUAGAAGACAGUUUUUCCUAAAAUGACAGUCUUCUCUAACACUGGGUCCAAGUGAGGAGGCAUAACAUGUAAAUAUUGCUCUCCUACUGCCUCUCAUUAGUCGUGGGUUAUUUUAUUUGGUGUAGGGACGUUCGACAUUCAAUACUAUGCACAGAUCUUCCUCAGCAUGUGUCUGAAUGCAGAAUGUAGAGGUUUUGUAGAAAUAUUAUUUAAAAACAAAAAACUUAUUUAAAUGAAUGAUAAUGCAAAUAAUAAACCAAAUAUUACAAUAUAUGUUACUUUGUGUCCACUUUGUUGAAACUUUGCAAAAUUUGGAUGCUUUCUAUAUUCACUGCAAAUGACGACAUGUUUUAUUGAAGAAGGUGAAUGAAACAAAUUGAACUUGAACGUAUGUAAUAUAUGAUCAAUGUAUGUCAUGUAUGACCAACGUAUGUCAUGUAUGAUCAACGGAUGUCAUGUAUGAUCAACGUAUGUCAUGUAUGACCAAUGUAUGUCAUGUAUGAUCAACGUAUGUCAUGUAUGACCAACGUAUGAUCAAUGUAUGUCAUGUAUG